GAUGAACGCUGGCGGCGUGCCUAAUACAUGCAAGUCGAGCGAACAGAUAAGGAGCUUGCUCCUUUGACGUUAGCGGCGGACGGGUGAGUAACACGUGGGUAACCUACCUAUAAGACUGGAAUAACUCCGGGAAACCGGGGCUAAUGCCGGAUAACAUGUUGAACCGCAUGGUUCUACAGUGAAAGGCGGCUUUGCUGUCACUUAUAGAUGGACCCGGGUCGUAUUAGCUAGUUGGUGAGGUAACGGCUCACCAAGGCAACGAUACGUAGCCGACCUGAGAGGGUGAUCGGCCACACUGGAACUGAGACACGGUCCAGACUCCUACGGGAGGCAGCAGUAGGGAAUCUUCCGCAAUGGGCGAAAGCCUGACGGAGCAACGCCGCGUGAGUGAUGAAGGUCUUCGGAUCGUAAAACUCUGUUAUUAGGGAAGAACAAAUGCGUAAGUAACUGUGCGCGUCUUGACGGUACCUAAUCAGAAAGCCACGGCUAACUACGUG
Molecule: ribosomal RNA, 497 nt
Filed under: uncultured bacterium
Lineage: Bacteria
Description: partial 16S ribosomal RNA
Rfam family: Bacterial small subunit ribosomal RNA
Source: RNAcentral